GACGAACCGUGCGAACGUUAUUCGGAAUCAUUGGGCUUAAAGCGCGUGUAGGCGGGUUCGUGCGUCUAUCGCUGAAAUCCCCCGGCUCAACCGGGGAAGUGGCGUGGAUACGACGAGUCUGGAGGGGCAUAGGGGGACCUGGAACUUCCGGUGGAGCGGUGAAAUGCGUUGAGAUCGGAAGGAACGCCCGUGGCGAAAGCGAGGUCCUGGAUGCUUACUGACGCUGAGACGCGAAAGCCAGGGGAGCGAACGGG
Molecule: ribosomal RNA, 254 nt
Filed under: uncultured bacterium
Lineage: Bacteria
Description: partial 16S ribosomal RNA
Rfam family: Bacterial small subunit ribosomal RNA
Source: RNAcentral